GUGACCCCAGGAUGGGCGAGGCUA
RNAcentral lists this ribosomal RNA (24 nucleotides) under Dendrobium crepidatum. RNAcentral's name for it is "partial 26S ribosomal RNA". The record is from RNAcentral. Lineage: Eukaryota; Viridiplantae; Streptophyta; Magnoliopsida; Asparagales; Orchidaceae.